This 460-nucleotide ribosomal RNA is filed under the name uncultured bacterium. RNAcentral describes it as "partial 16S ribosomal RNA". It matches the Rfam family "Bacterial small subunit ribosomal RNA", at positions 338 to 795 of the family's 1533-position model. The record is from RNAcentral.
CCUACGGGAUGCAGCAGUGAGGAAUAUUGGUCAAUGGACGAGAGUCUGAACCAGCCAAGUAGCGUGAAGGAUGACUGCCCUAUGGGUUGUAAACUUCUUUUAUAAAGGAAUAAAACGAGGCACGUGUGCCUUUUUGCAUGUACUUUAUGAAUAAGGAUCGGCUAACUCCGUGCCAGCAGCCGCGGUAAUACGGAGGAUCCGAGCGUUAUCCGGAUUUAUUGGGUUUAAAGGGAGCGUAGAUGGGUUGUUAAGUCAGUUGUGAAAGUUUGCGGCUCAACCGUAAAAUUGCAAUUGAUACUGGCAGUCGUGAGUACAGUUGAGGUAAGCGGAAUUCGUGGUGUAGCGGUGAAAUGCUUAGAUAUCACGAAGAACCCCGAUUGCGAAGGCAGCUUACUAAACUGUGACUGACAUUGAUGCUCGAAAGUGUGGGUAUCAAACAGGAUUAGAUACCCGAGUAGUC